CCUACGGGAGGCAGCAGUGGGGGAUAUUGGACAAUGGGGGGAACCCUGAUCCAGCGACGCCGCGUGAGUGAAGAAGUAUUUCGGUAUGUAAAGCUCUGUCAGCAGGGAAGAAAGCAAUGACGGUACCUGACCAAGACGCCCCGGCUAACUACGUGCCAGCAGCCGCGGUAAUACGUGGGGGGCAAGGGUUAUCCGGAAUUACUGGGGGUAAAGGGAGCGUAGACGGCUGUGCAAGUCUGGAGUGAAAGGGGGGGGCCAACCCCCGGACUGCUCUGGAAACUGUAUGGCUGGAGUGCAGGAGAGGUAAGCGGAAUUCCUAGUGUAGCGGUGAAAUGCGUAGAUAUUAGGAGGAACACCAGUGGCGAAGGCGGCUUACUGGACUGUAACUGACGUUGAGGCUCGAAAGCGUGGGGAGCAAACAGGAUUAGAUACCCCAGUAGUC
This 442-nucleotide ribosomal RNA is filed under the name uncultured bacterium. RNAcentral's name for it is "partial 16S ribosomal RNA". It matches the Rfam family "Bacterial small subunit ribosomal RNA", at positions 338 to 795 of the family's 1533-position model. The record is from RNAcentral.